Long non-coding RNA from Dermacentor silvarum, 1997 nucleotides. RefSeq lists it as uncharacterized. Lineage: Eukaryota; Metazoa; Arthropoda; Arachnida; Ixodida; Ixodidae. The record is from RefSeq and is a predicted model, not a curated record. The transcript has 3 exons.
CCCGAGGGCUCCGAUGUCGCUGCGCAUGCGUGAGCUGAGAGAAGGUGAGAAAGGAGAACAACUCUCCUUUGCCGGAUGUGACGUCACAUUGUUGUUUGUUUUUUUGCUUUUUGAAAUAGCUACUCUCGAACUCAGGCACUAUGGUUCGCGCCUCGUUCGCGCGCGCAUUGUGAGCAUUCAAGUUUCGUUUUUUGCACUUGCUUAGUAGCUGAAAUUGCGGACAUUGCAGGGUUGGGCUUGAUGACAUUUGUUGCUCAGCUGCCGCGACACAUUUGGAGCAAAGCUUCUGCUUAUUUCCUUUGGCCGCACCUUAUAUUUGUUGUCUUUGUCAACAUCUGACCUGUUUCUGCCUUGUUGAAAGCAAGUGGCCACAAGUACUGCUUAGUUUGCUCAGUCUAAACCUGGUAGUGCAUCCAGUUUAGCGCCGUGCACAUGUGUGGGGCAUUUCCUUGUUCUUAUUGUGCUGAUGUGCCGUGUUGUACAUAGGAGGAAAGCCGGUCGUCCACAAUAUGGUUGUCAGUGUUGCUGAAUACAACACAGUCUUGCUGCCUUGACACGCCACAUCAUUUGGCAUCUUGGGGUGAGGUGGCAUCUUGCUGCUCCUUGUGGUCAGGCAUAGCCAAGACUGCAGGUAGAGUCCGCACACAAAGUUCGAGGUUGAACUAUAGAACCAGCACGCCCAAUAAAUGUGUGUGCAAAUUUAGCUCUAAGCGUGAUUUAUGUCAGGAAUAAAGAUUCACAAAAGGGGCUUGGUCCAUGGCCAAGCAGAGUGAGCACGAACAACAACAACCGUCUUCUUUCACAUCCUUUGUUGGUGCCUGCCUUUGCCGCUACAUAGUAAUUAAUUAGUAAUUAGUUUGCUAAGCUAUCCAUAACUGAGAACUCGAUUGAGCAUAGAAAGAAACAUGACUAUAGGCUCCUGUGUUUCUUAUGUUUAAAUCACAAUUUGUAGGUAUCAAACACAGCAUAGCAUAAAUGAUACAUUGGGCACUGCAACCCUGUGAUGUGCACAUUGAGUGCCUUUUCGCGUCUUCUUCAGAGGGUACUCGAGAUUUCUGGUUGGGUUGCCAUUGAUGUGUUAGCUCAGUGAAUCUUCCUUCCAAGGCAUUCAGUUUGUUAAAGUUAAGCCACUAUAGAUGUGUCCUCAUUGUUCAGGUUACUUCUGGCGACAUGACAACGUUCUUGUGGCUAUGAUGUGAUGCUUCAUGACACACAUGGUGCUCAAUUCUGAAUUAUUGUUGGCAUGCUUUUUCACAAAUGGUUUUAGUAAGAUGGUAAGAAUGGUUUUAGUAGCACAGGCGACGCAAAAUGAGCCACAGCAUAUGCUUUACCUCCAGCAUGUUCGUGAUCACCGAUGGCAUGUAAAACAGUGAUUCAGACCAAGCAUCGCAAAGAAUGAUUGUUGCCUUUCUUUCUUACAGGCUGCUGUGUUUCAGCUAAAUCUGCUUUUCCUGUGUCCAGUGGCCUUGUCACUCAAUUAGUGCUUGCCAAUUUCCAUUACACUGCAACCCACUAAAAAUAUGAAAUUUUAGAAUAUGAUGCCUCCCCUCUCUUCCCUUGUCCUUCUGACCUUUCACUCUGCUGCAAGCUUUUAGAUUUCAAUGCUUAAAUGAUUAAUACAAACAUUGAUGCUACCAUAUUAUUUCAUGGCUAUCAUGAUGGCAAUAAUUUAGGUUAACCUGAAACUAAAUGAGAAAAAUUAAAAUAGGCAUGUGUAAGUAGGACUGACUGUUCCUGGUUUCUGGCUCUAUGCUAAAUUUGAGGUCUUUGCCUCAAGGAAAUGGGUCUUGGAUUCUCAGACCCUUUUUGUGAUCCUGUGCCUGUAUCAGACCUGAUAUACAGUCACGGAAGUUUUACAAAAAGGAGCACCUUUCUUUUGGGGAACUGCUUUUUAUCACAAGUGUGCUAGAUAGCGCCAGUUAUGCUAUGAGCAGGCACAACUGCAGGUACAAACUAUAGUAUGUAGUUUAAAAUAAUUUCACAUCUAUUUGUGAACU